UAGUGGCUGAUUCUCUUUGAGAUCUUGAAGCUAUGAAUAUGUGAAGAACAAGGACAAGAAAAAGAUUUUUAUAUUUUCUUAUCUAGUACUCAAACAGAUUAUGGGCUACCUGAACUUGGAUUGCAUAUUCAGAAAUUAUUUUAAUUUAAAAUUAAUAAUUCCCUUAUGAGACGAUUUGAUAUCUCCAGCCUUGCUCGAACUGGACAGAAACAUUGUACCCAUUUUCUGCUUUCCAGAUAGAAAUAUCUUUUGAUGGUGGUUAUUUUCAAAACUGCAUCCAAAAAAUCAUUGAGUUCUGCUGCUCCCAAUUGAUAUGAGCAGAAAUUGGUCUCAAGACAAAGACAAAGUGGCAAUGAUUCCCAUGACCCAUAUCACAUAGUAUUUGGCAAACAAAGGCAGUAAAGCAAGGAGAGGUCCUGCAGCUUCCCCCCAGCCUGAAAACAGUGAAAUACAUGGACAAACAACAGCAAUGAUGUGGAUGAUAUAGAUUAAGCAAUUUGGUCACACCCACACUGUGUUAAUCUCUGCCCCUUUCUCUGUAGCCAGGACAUCAUUUGUCAACUCAGAUGCCAUUUAGAAUUUCAAAUCAAUGUUAUGGAAAGGAUUCCUACUGUUUUCUUUCAAACAGUAAGAUGUCUAUUGCCAGUCCUACUAUAGGCCCCUAAAGUAGCUGGUGUCCCUCAUUAAUGAGCAAUCAAUAAACCUGAGGCACUUCAGUGAAGGUAGUCCCAUCAAAUAUUUCUGAACUGACUUGGGACCUUGGGAGUGUGAGAGCAUUGUUCCAAACAAAAUUAGUAAAAUGUCUCAAAAAGCCAAACAUUAAAAAAAAAUUAUUCUGCACCAUUUGCUCCUUAUUACACCAAGCCUUCAGAUCUCAGCAGGCUGUCUUUCACAGUUUUUCAGGAAAAUCUCAGAACUCCUUUAAACCUAGGACUUAAUCCUCCUACUUUCUCAUAAUAUGAGAUUUUGGUUUCAUUGUAGAUUAAUUACAAACUUUUCUAGCAGUCCAGUCUUGUAGGUCUGUCAUUUUCCUUGAGUCAUUCAGAGAUGUCUGGUAAUGGAAGCAAAAAGUAGGUACAGGUCCAAGAAAGAAAGCACUUUUUACAGUAGAUAACUCAGAAAUUUUCCACUAAGGAAACAAAAAUAUGCUUGUUGGAUAAUGUUUGUCUCAUUCUUGUUAUAUUUCUUUACACUUAAAAAUAUUUUAGUAUCCGAAGUCCUCCCUUUUGUUUGGCUAGCUUCAUAGAUGAAAAUGUAUUUUGUUAUUCCUUUAUCAUAUCUGUUAUUCUGAUUUUUUUCAAAACAUCUUCUUUAUUAUACUAAUACUUCCUUGCAUUUUGGCAACCCCUUCUUGAAGGGAAGCUAGUCUCUUGGAGAAAUAUGACACAUCCCUAAAAAAAUUAGACUGAUAUCUACAUAAUGUUAAGAUGUCCCACAAUGGAACCAGUUUAUAAUCUCUAUCAAAAUUCAUACAAAAGUCUCAUAGCUAUCCCCUCUAUUGUUCUGUUAAACAUUGAAUAGUUAAACUUGUUCUAGGGAUUUCAUUUUAGUUAAAAAAAGGAUUUAAAUAAUAAAAAACUUUCUUUUUCCUCUUAUAGCACUAAAAUUUCAAAACUUUUUCAUUACACAGACUGUCUCAUUCAAAAAUCCAUCUGAGAUCUGCUGAAAUAUUCCUAUAGAGUUAGUUGACAUAUCUCCUAUUGUACAUUCCAAGUGAAAAUAUUCAGGAUCAUAUCUUUAAAACACUGUCACUUUGAUCACUGCAAGAAUGAACUAUGAGAGCUUGUCAACAAGAGCUCAGUUUUGUAGGUAUUAUGGAAAAAAAAGUAUUUAUUGUCAUAGUCCUUCCUUUGACUCAUGGCACUGUAGAUAUCACCUUUAGUCUUUCCCAGUCACUGCAUGGAACAAGUGAAUUGUCUGAUGUUUUGUUCCAAGAAAAGAUUUUAAAUGAGAUCAUUUUUUCUGCUCACCUAUCUAAUCCACUUUUAACUGCCAAUUCUGUUUUACAUGUUGGUUGUUUGCAUGAACAAAAAUCAAGUUUCAACUACCUCAUGAGUGAAAUAAUCCUGUCUGUGUCAGUACACCAACAUGCUUUGAAAUGUGCACUGGGAAACCAAUGUUGGAAUGUAUCUCAUUUUCCUUGCAUCUUUUUUCAUAUGUGGUACCAAAGGAUAUCAUUCAACCGUGUGUUUUCUCUGAUGUAAAAGCCAUUUUAAGAACAGCUGGACAUUAAUUCCUCCAUCCACGUAACAAGAUAAUGUCUUCUCUGCUUUGUCAACCAUUAGUGAAACUCUACAGUAAGCUAAAUACCUGAAAUAAUUCAGAUAAAAACUCAAAAUUAAAAUCUUUUGCAGCCCAGUCAUAUAGUGGUAACAAAAAAAAA
This 2383-nucleotide long non-coding RNA is filed under the name Taeniopygia guttata (zebra finch). RNAcentral describes it as "lncRNA (ENSTGUG00000026481.1)". The record is from RNAcentral. Lineage: Eukaryota; Metazoa; Chordata; Aves; Passeriformes; Estrildidae.